This 75-nucleotide small RNA is filed under the name Xanthomonas pisi DSM 18956. RNAcentral's name for it is "sX9". Lineage: Bacteria; Pseudomonadati; Pseudomonadota; Gammaproteobacteria; Lysobacterales; Lysobacteraceae. The record is from RNAcentral.
AUGCACGACGCCGUACGCUCCGGUUCUGGGCGCGCCGUCCGCACGGCUUAGACUACUCGCUACGUCUUGUCAGGC